RNAcentral lists this long non-coding RNA (969 nucleotides) under Capsicum annuum. Its description in RNAcentral is "long non-coding RNA (CANN_LNC006225)". The record is from RNAcentral. Lineage: Eukaryota; Viridiplantae; Streptophyta; Magnoliopsida; Solanales; Solanaceae.
ACUAAAAACAUGAUUAUUAUAUAGUUUGGCCAAUUGACCUACAUAUAAAAACCUAAUAUAAAAGAAAACAUAAAAUUAUUAGAGAGAAAAUCUCCCCCUAACCAAAGACACUUUAAAAACUACAUUAUGGAUGUUAUUGUGUUAUGGUAUGAGAAGGGAGUCUUUUAUUUAUAGAUGUUUAAAACCUUUCCUCCAAGAAAGAGGUUAGCCAAAUAUGGAAAAGAAUUAUAUUUUUUCUUUCAGGAAAAGUAAAAGUAAUUAUGAUAACUUUUAUUUUCCUUCUAAAAAAAAAGUAAAACUUAAAUAUAGUAAGAAAAUCAGGGCAAAAACCCUAACAAAUCUCCCCUUUUUGGCUUGAUUUUCUUCAAAAUAUUCUUGAUCCUCCUUCUUCUUGUGCAUGAUCUUCGUUCUUCAUAUAUAUCUGGUGCAUGAUAUGCGUUCUUCAUAUAUAUUCUUCGCAUAUCACUGUUGUUUGGCAUGUUUAAAAAUGGAGUUUUUGGGGUUAAAAAAUAUAUUAGCCCUUUUCGGGUUAAAAAUAUUGGAGCCCUUUUGCAAGGUUAAAAGUGAGCUUUAUUUUUAAAUAUGUGACAGCAGGAUUGUUGAAAAUAUGAUUGACAAUGAUCUCCACAUGUUGCUUUUGGACAUAUAUCUUCAUUAUCAUCAAAUUGGUUGCAGCUUAAUUUUGAAACCGCUUUGAAUUUGUUUAAUCUCGUCUCACCACAUCAUUGGACCAUUGAACAGUAAGCUUUGAUACCACUUGUUGGAUUCGAAAUUGAGAGGGCGUCAUGCGGAAGCUAUUAGUUGCAAACUAUUGAGACGAUAAAUCAGACGAAAAGAAAAACAUACUAAAAACAUGAUUAUUAUAUAGUUUGCUCAAUUGGCCUACAUAUAAAAACCUAAUAUAAAAGAAAACAUAAAAUUAUUAGAGAGAAAAUCCUCCCCCUAAACAAAGACACUUUAAAAACUACA